Long non-coding RNA from Acyrthosiphon pisum (pea aphid), 5753 nucleotides. RefSeq lists it as uncharacterized. The transcript is spliced from 3 exons. The record is from RefSeq and is a predicted model, not a curated record. NCBI's taxonomy places the organism in Eukaryota, Metazoa, Arthropoda, Insecta, Hemiptera, Aphididae.
GCGGCCAGAAAACACCAAAGUAUUAUAAAAUGUAAAUACAUCGUUAUCGUCUAAAAUUAGUAAAAUAAUAGGUACAAAGUUUUUUCGUUUCGUUUCCAAGAAUCAAGAACAUAUAUUUUUAACUUUGUCGAAUCACGAUACCUUAUAUAGUACAGUCAGUCCUACGUAUGUACCUACUACCUAAUAGAUUGUAGAGAAUAUGGAUGAAAACAAAAAAACGAAAAUGCCAUUUAACAUAGUGCCUAUCACUGAUAACAAUAGUCAAGAUGUGUUGAGUUUCAUAGAAAAGUAUUUUAUCCUAGAUGAACCUUUAAAUGCAAGUGUAGCAUUAUUUGAAGAAAAAGAUACAUUAAUAAAAUAUAAAGAUAUUUGCUGCAAUUUGUUUAAUAAUGGAUUAUCAUUUAUGGCAGUAUCUGAAACUGGUGAAAUGAUGGGUGUCACACUCAAUCGCACAAUGUGUAAAGAUGAUCUAAUUGUUCAAUACCGUAACGAGAACUUUGUUUGAAAUUCAAAGUAUGAUGCCAUUGAGGUUUUCCUAUACAGAAUGCGGCGAGAUGUUGAUCUAUAUGAGAAUUAUCCAAACGUAGAUCGUAUAAUGGAAUUAAGAAUGAUUGCAGUUAGUGAGAAAUACAGAGGACAAGGCGUUUGCAAAGCUCUCAUCAACAAAUCAAAGUAUUAAACAUAUUGAGUAUAUCUAUUUAUUUAAAAUAUAACAAUUUCUGGAUAGUUAAAAGAACAUAUUAUGUUAAAUACGUAUAAACCCUGUUUAUAGCAGUACUAGGAAAGUUAACUUGAAAAUGUAAUUCGUAGACGAUCACUUUUUCCCUUAAGGAACACGUUCAUUUUCAAGUUUUAAAAAAAAACAUAUGUUUUAUUUAAACAACCUAAAUCGUUCAAGUUUCUUAAAAAUACGAAUUUGGUUUACGUUCGGGUUCUGUUUUAUAUAAGUGAACGACACGCAUUCGCAUUACAUUUUUGUUUAUACAUCUUAAUGUACUAUUAUAUAUCUAAUGUGCUAUAUUAUUUAUCUUGAAACAUAUAUUUAUUAUUCAACGGUAUAGUAUCUAUUGAACAAGGUGCAGUAGAAAGAUUCAUACGCAUUGAAGUGAACACUUUAACCCUGAUAAUUAUAACAACUAAAAAAAAUUUAACAAUAAUUUGUCUAUAAAAUAAUUUUAAUAACUCGAACUCACAGAAGCAUUAUUGAUUUUUGAUCGCAUUUGCCGAUCAAUACCAAUAGCAACAACGUACACGAAUCCACUCAGUCCAUGCAUCUACGGCAUUCAUGUUUCCGGCAUUUGUAAUAUAUAUAUUAUAAUAUAGUAUGAUUGAAAACUAAGUAAAAACGUACGAACGUACCGUCACGCAUCGUAACACACACAAAAAAAUUGUGAUUAAUUUAUCGUAAAGCACUAUACAAUCUACAUUAUACAUUUUUAAUUUCAUGUUCUGAAUUAAAAUGUUCUUGGGGUAUAUCUCGAGACAUAAAAAUCGAAUUUCAAACAAAUAGGUAGUAUCAUUGGUUAACUGUUUAACAGUAUUUUAGUUAUUGGUAAUAGUACCUACUUAAAUUUUCUUGAAAUAGUGUGAACACUCUUUUCUAUCACGUCUUGUUAUCAUCCGCCCAUCUAAAAACCUAAACAAUUUUCGAAAAAAUGCAUGUUUACCCUUAAAAAAAUCACCCUGUAUAUUUUAUAUUUUAAAGUUCAGCUGAGGCAGCUGUUGGAUCGUUCUUGGCAGCGAGGGGCGAAAGGAUUGUCUCUCGACCACCACCGCUGCCACCGCCGCCGCCACCGUCGUCCACGUCUACGUUGACGUAGACGUUUUGUAAGACACAGUUUUGUUCUGUUUUGGUUUGGUGUAAUUUUUUUUUCCUCCCGGAUUUGUCUAUUACACACGUCACAUUCCCAGCUGUUGACGAGAUUGUCGGCUAUACAGUAUAACAUGUAUAAGGUCCAUUUCGUACAUUUUGGCGCAUCGUGAAUCCAUCUCCGCCAACAACACCCGCGCGCCACAUACAGGGUGAUUUAUUUUUCAUGGUGAACCCGUGGACAAUACAUUUAUUUUUAUACUCGUUUGUAUGCCAGUGCUGAGAUUUUAUCCGAUUUUCUAACGGUGCACAUGUUUGAUUGACGCCAAAUUCCCAAAUGUAAAUUGCGUCACGCCCUCACGAGUAAACAAAAACAAUGGAAGACCAUACAAUUCCCAGUCGAAAUCACUGCAGUGUAUAAUAUGAUAUUAAUAUUUUGGAAAUCAAUAUAGUGCUUUAAUUUACGAUGUUUAUAAUCAUAACCCUCAACUGGUGCCACCUACAAUGCUACGUAAAUGGUAUAAUCGAGCCAAAUUUUACCAACAUAUAAUAUUAUAAAUCAUAGUUGGGUUUAUUAUGAAUUCUCAAAAAAAAAAAUUAUCUAUAUGAAUAUUCACAUAAAAUAAGCAGUACUUACUUAAAUUUUUUUUUCUGAUUUUACAUUGAUUUAAUGUAUAUUAUAUGAUAGGAAAAAUUAUGUUACACUCAAUUAUUAUUUAAUAGAUUGGUAUUUUAUUAUAAUAAAAUAAAACAGCAGAACUGACAAUUUUUAAUUUCAUACGAAUCCAUUAGUUAAUCGUCCAAAUACUCAUAUCUCAUAAUUUCAGAAGGUAAUAUUACAGAAUUGGAAGAAAUAAUACGCUGUAGAAUGAAGUUUCAAUAUUAUAAAUUAACUAGGACAGUGGCGUAGUCAAGAAUUUUGCACGGGAGGCUAGGGGUAUUUGUAAUUUUUUUUUUUCAAAUAGCAUAAUAAUAUAGCCUAUAAAAUAAACAUUGUCAAUGACGGUUCUGCUAUAGUCUCCUUAUAUAGAUCAGGUCAUUUUUGAUGGAAGAAUUCCAAUAUUAAGUCGAGGUUAAUUUUUUUACAACAACGUUUCUCAAACGAUUGUAUAUCGUGCCCACAGUAAACAAGUAGAAAAAAGAGUAAAGUCAAUCACGCCCGUCAUUUUUUGAUUUCUAAAAUUUGUUUAUUAUUUUUAACCCAUACUAUUGAUACGAAUACAAUUAUUGUGCUACAAUCAGUUAUUUAAAUUCAAAUUAAUAGUGGGUAUGGAUGAGCCUUAUACAUUUGAGUACACGAUUUCCUAAAAUAAUUUUCAAUCAAGAAAAACAGGUAUUGUUUACUAACACAAAAUUAAUCAUAUAAAUAUAUAGGUCCAUACUCAAUAUGUAAGGAUUAUGUCGUGUUAUUAUUGUAAUACCUACAAAUCAACUUUAUAUUUUAAUUUUUAGAACAGACAUGUAUACUUACAUAUAUAUUUUUUUCCGUUUUAAACAAACCAAAAAAUGUAAUUCGCUAAGCCGCGGAAUAUACGAUUCGAGAUUCCGCUACACUAUAUGUAUUAUAUUAGUAUAUUCGUAUAGGUACUAUUAUUAUUAUUAUUAUUAUUAUUAUUAUUAUUCCGACAUGGCCGCAUGUAACCUCGGAACUAUCUUUCUGUUGUGGUCAUCGUAAUAUUUUAGAAAAUGACAAAGCAAGAGUUACACACGAUGACCACUGCAAACGCGUAUCUCUUUGAAAUAUAGUAAUGUCAUUUAGUAAAUUAUAGUAAUUAUAACUUAUAAGAGGGACGUAUGCGUGCAGGCACACCGGGAAAACGACUAUUUUCGCAAACCAUUAUUAUAAAACAAAACAAAAAAGGACUACGCAGGCCUUGAAUGCCACUCAACAAUUAUAAAGAUCGGAAUUCGACAGAAUUUUUUUUCUUUUCUCAGACAAACAACAGCAGCUAGGACAUCAAACCGAUUUUAAUAUUUCAUUAUGAGUAAAUACUAGCAUUGAGCAUAUAUUAUUGUAUACAAUGUUUAAAAUGAAAGACAAUCAAUGUAUUUUAAUUCUUAAUAAUAUUAAUUUGGGAUGAAAUUAAAAGCAUAUUAACUAUUUAUUAUUUCACUCCCAUAUUUUAAUCAGUGAAUGAAGAAUUAUAAGAUAUAUAGGUACCUAAAUUUAUUGUGAACUGAAGGUCAAACAAAUAAUUAUAGUAGAAUAAUAUGAAUCGUAUAGUACCUAUAAAUACAAAGGUCUGCAAUAAUAUAAUUUUAAGUACCUAUUUACUUUUAAUAACUUGUAAUUCUUUCACCAUUAGAAAUCUAAAUUAUCCCUGAGUAUUAUAGGAUAUAUUUAUUGCUGGAAAAAAUUAUGGAAUCCUACUAAAACUUCAAUAAUGUCCAUUUUUUGUAUGUACGCGCAUAUCUCGAAAAGUACUCAACGGAUUUUAAUACGGUUUUCACUAAUAAAUAGAUUGAGUCACAGGCAAUGUUUUAAUGUAUAAUUUAAUGUAUUAAUUAGGCGGUUAAAAAUAAUAAAAAUAAUAUCUAUAUAUAUAAAUGAAUGUUUGUCUGUAUGUCCUUUGUGCAUUCCUAAGCCACUACCGAUUUCGAUGACAUUUUUUGUGUGUUUGAGUGGUUCCCUGGAUGAUUUAGAUCCACAAUUCAACCCGGGGAGGUGCUCAAACAGGGAUUUUGAGUAUUACGAUGGAAAUUUUUGUUUAUAAAUGCCAAAUAGUUGCUAUUGGUUAUAGGAGAAAUAAUAAUUAGUAGUAAAUCAGUAUUUUAUUUGUAUACCGGUUGCCAUUGGUUAAUCGGGCAGAUCAAGCAAAUGCAAUAUACGCGUACAAUAUUACAAUCGAAUUUUCGCAAAAUGCCUACUUGAUAUGCUGUUGCACAUUGUCCACGAUCCUGCCUUUAUCAAUCGCUUCAAGCUUGAUAUGGUUAAAUUUAAUUUUUUGAGCUCUAACGUGUGUUAUUUUACCACAGCGACCAAAUGAGGAGUAUAUUAUAUUGGGUAGGUAUACAUUAUAUUUUAGAAGAGAUGAAAAAAGCCAGACUUUGUUAAAACAAUUUAUACUUUAUAGACACAAAGACUUACGUGGUACGCGUAGGUACCUUGGGGAGAUUCAUUACCCUUGCAAAUUGCUAAUAUCAAAAGUGCAUUAUAUUCUGUACACGAACACAGGUACCUACGCGCCAAUUAUAAGUUCGCGUACCUAUAUAAACUUGAGUAAUUCAUUUUUAUUCGUACUCGGCUCCUUGCAUUGACUCGCGUAUGAUCUAUAAUUGCACUUUUCGAGUGCGCCGCAGAGUAUGAAUAAUAAUAGAAUAUACCCAAAUACUAUAAUAUAUAGUGUAUAUGUAUACCUACCUAAUAUUGUUUGAAAACGCGAUCCAAAAACUGUGCAGGAUCGUAUCGACAUUUAAUCAAACGGUGAGGUCAAAGUAUAUUAAUAUAAUACAAUAAAUUGCGUCAAAAAUAAUAAAUGCACCCAAAGAGGACGGUACUUACACAAUAUUUACAGCCUUGAUGUAAUUAUAUUGGCAUCGUUUGAAAUACUAUAUUUUUAUUACGUAACCUAUUGAUUUAGUUUUCAAUCGAUUAAUGUUUUUUAAUUGUCUCACUCACACAACACACGCGUUUCUGAUUGCAAUAAUAAUAUAUGAGCUGGCUGAAAAGGCCCUGUAAUAAAUUUCGUAUGGAGUUCGAUUAAUAGAGUGACAAUUAUUUGACAUAGUUAUCGACCAUUAAGCCGACUAAUUAUCAUUUUACUUUGGGUUAAUGUAAAUAUUAUGUCGUUAUUCUCACCGUAUACGUGUAUACACAUUAUAAUAGUUUAUAACGAUUAAUGAAAGUUUGAACAAACGAGAGAGAUGAAUACAAUUGUUAUUAUUAAUAGGUAUGAAAAACUAUUAAUUAUCUAUAGUAAAUGAUUAAAAUGUUCCAAAAAAU